UCUAGAGAUUGGCGGACGGGUGAGUAACGCGUACACGACCUACCUCUGACAGGGGGAUAGCCCUGGGAAACUGGGAUUAAUACCGCAUAUUAUUCUGAUUAAUAAAGGAUUGGAAUGAAAGUUCAGGCGGUCAGAGAUGGGUGUGCGUCUGAUUAGCUAGUUGGUAGGGUAACGGCCUACCAAGGCGAUGAUCAGUAGGGGGCGUGAGAGCGUGAUCCCCCACACGGGUACUGAGACACGGACCCGACUCCUACGGGAGGCAGCAGUAAGGAAUAUUGGACAAUGGCCGCAAGGCUGAUCCAGCCAUCCAGCGUGCAGGAAGAAGGCCCUAUGGGUUGUAAACUGCUUUUAUCAGGGAAUAAACCUCUGGAUUCACUCCGGAGCUGAAGGUACCUGAAGAAUAAGCACCGGCUAACUCCGUGCCAGCAGCCGCGAAUCGUCGAC
RNAcentral lists this ribosomal RNA (444 nucleotides) under uncultured Saprospiraceae bacterium. RNAcentral describes it as "bacterial SSU rRNA". It matches the Rfam family "Bacterial small subunit ribosomal RNA", at positions 87 to 529 of the family's 1533-position model. The record is from RNAcentral. Lineage: Bacteria; Pseudomonadati; Bacteroidota; Saprospiria; Saprospirales; Saprospiraceae.